AGCGAACGCUGGCGGCAGGCUUAACACAUGCAAGUCGAGCGGGCGUAGCAAUACGUCAGCGGCAGACGGGUGAGUAACGCGUGGGAACAUACCUUUUGGUUCGGAACAACACAGGGAAACUUGUGCUAAUACCGGAUAAGCCCUUACGGGGAAAGAUUUAUCGCCGAAAGAUUGGCCCGCGUCUGAUUAGCUAGUUGGUGAGGUAAUGGCUCACCAAGGCGACGAUCAGAGCUGGUCUGAGAGGAUGAUCAGCCACAUUGGGACUGAGACACGGCCCAAACUCCUACGGGAGGCAGCAGUGGGGAAUAUUGGACAAUGGGCGCAAGCCUGAUCCAGCCAUGCCGCGUGAGUGAUGAAGGCCCUAGGGUUGUAAAGCUCUUUUGUGCGGGAAGAUAAUGACGGUACCGCAAGAAUAAG
RNAcentral lists this ribosomal RNA (417 nucleotides) under uncultured bacterium. Its description in RNAcentral is "bacterial SSU rRNA". It matches the Rfam family "Bacterial small subunit ribosomal RNA", at positions 29 to 490 of the family's 1533-position model. The record is from RNAcentral.